Molecule: long non-coding RNA, 841 nt
Organism: Aedes aegypti (yellow fever mosquito)
Lineage: Eukaryota; Metazoa; Arthropoda; Insecta; Diptera; Culicidae
Exons: 2
Source: RefSeq, a predicted model, not a curated record
AAACAACAGUUUGGCAAAUUGUUAGAUAAAUUGGUGUUUGUGGCGAUGUGCACUUGCAAAUUUUUGCCGUUCAGCUGUGCUGUCAUGUGUAUUUUGUUUUUCUUUUAUUAAAAAGUAUGAAAAAGUAAGUGAAAAAUAAACCUGAUCGAUAUUGUGACCAACUCGAUUUCUCGCGGGAUGGAUGUGCGAAUUAAUUCUGCAUUCGAACAGCGGAAUAAUUGGAUUCGUUAUCAGUAUGCAGAUGUAGGAAUGCCCCCCGUUAACCGUGCUCUCGGGCGAUUCAACACCAGUCCGAUGUCCACCUGCCUAGGUAUGCCAUCCUCUGAGACGAGAACAAUUGUCGUGGCUGCUGAUCCUUAUUAUAAAAGUAUCUGAAGUGGUAAUCAAACGGCGGAGGAACUGGAGUAUGAAGGAUUGUAAUAUGUGCGGGAUUUUCAGUACAAGGCCCUUUUAAUAGAAAAUCUAAAGUUGACUGACUCGUGUAUUGUAUACUAUGACGAAGGAGGUGAAAUAAACACCUGACAUGGACUAUAAGGCACUUAGAAAAUGGCGAUAUAUGUGAAAUUUUCAAACUACCUAUACACUCAGGCAAAUUAAUUAACGAAUUUCAUAAAUUUUCCCUUAUGAAGCAUUGAAAAAUCUAUAAAACCCUAUUUCAGAAGGCUAAUAUGGAUUUCAUACCGUUGAAAUGAUAGCCAUAAUUGGGAAAAUUAUUAAAUAUAUUGAACUUUUCAAAAUUCCAUUGCACGCCUUAUGAUUUCCAUUGCCGUCAUGAAUCAUUUUCUUAGUGAUACCAUAUUUCAUAAGGCUAUUAUGGAUUUCAUAUUAGUUCGAUGAAAAC